CAGCCGCCACGGUAAUACGUAGGGUCCGAGCGUUGUCCGGAAUUACUGGGCGUAAAGAGCUCGUAGGUGGUUUGUCGCGUUGUUCGUGAAAACUCACAACUCAAUUGUGGGCGUGCGGGCGAUACUGGCAGACUGGAGUACUGCAGGGGAGACUGGAAUUCCUGGUGUAGCGGUGGAAUGCGCAGAUAUCAGGAGGAACACCGGUGGCGAAGGCGGGUCUCUGGGCAGUAACUGACGCUGAGGAGCGAAAGCGUGGGGAGCGAACAGGACUAGAUACCCCAGUAGUCCCUGUCUCUUAUAC
This 301-nucleotide ribosomal RNA is filed under the name uncultured bacterium. RNAcentral describes it as "partial 16S ribosomal RNA". It matches the Rfam family "Bacterial small subunit ribosomal RNA", at positions 509 to 807 of the family's 1533-position model. The record is from RNAcentral.